AAGUCGUAACAAGGUUUCCGUAGGUGAACCUGCGGAAGGAUCAUUACAGAGUUCAUGCCCUAACGGGUAGACCUCCCACCCUUGUGUAUUUAUACUUUGUUGCUUUGGCGAAUAGUGCGUCUGACGCACUUCAGCCCUCGGGCUGUGAGAUUCUCUUGUUCGCCAGAGGAUACCAAACUCAUAUUUAUUAGUGUCGUCUGAGUACUAUAUUAAUAGUUAAAACUUUCAACAACGGAUCUCUUGGUUCUG
RNAcentral lists this unclassified non-coding RNA (249 nucleotides) under air metagenome. RNAcentral's name for it is "partial contains small subunit ribosomal RNA, internal transcribed spacer 1, and 5.8S ribosomal RNA". The stretch from base 1 to 46 matches the Rfam family "Eukaryotic small subunit ribosomal RNA", at positions 1786 to 1831 of the family's 1831-position model. The record is from RNAcentral.